AUGCCAAAAUCGACAUCCAUGUGCUGCUCCAUGUCAAAUCUUGGUGCUUGCGAGCUCGGAGACGCUGGCCGCUGUCAGCUAUUAAUUCAUCUGAAGGAAGAGGGGAGGGGGGAGGUGAGUGGUACCGGGACAUCCUUGGAGGUGACACGGGCGCCGUUGGAAGCUUGCUGGCAGGAGACGCAGGAGGAAGGGCGAGCGAGCGCCGGAGGCCGUACGGACGCUGGAGAGCCACCGCCUCGCCGUCUUGACCGCUGCCGCCCCUGGACCUUGUGGCGCUCGUGCGGGCGCGGCGCCUCGCCGUAUUGGCCGCUGCCACCCCUGGCCCUCGCGUCGCCCGUGCCGCCGUGGAGCCUCGCCGUAUUGGCAGCUGCCGCGAGGGAGGAGCAGCCAGCAAGGAGGGGGGAGGGAAGCGGCAGGGCAGCUGCGGUGGAGGAAGAGCCGCCAGCAAGGAGGGGGGAGGGAAGCAGCAGGGCAGCUGCGGCGGAGGAGUAUGAGCCUAUGAGGGGAUCUGUGGGAGAAGGCGACCACCGCGCUCGGGGAGGUAGGCGAAAGGGAAAAGAGGAAUAG
RNAcentral lists this ribosomal RNA (567 nucleotides) under Triticum aestivum (bread wheat). RNAcentral's name for it is "partial small subunit ribosomal RNA". The record is from RNAcentral. Lineage: Eukaryota; Viridiplantae; Streptophyta; Magnoliopsida; Poales; Poaceae.